CCUACGGGAGGCAGCAGUGGGGAAUAUUGGGCAAUGGGCGCAAGCCUGACCCAGCAACGCCGCGUGAAGGAAGAAGGCUUUCGGGUUGUAAACUUCUUUUGUCAGGGACGAAGCAAGUGACGGUACCUGACGAAUAAGCCACGGCUAACUACGUGCCAGCAGCCGCGGUAAUACGUAGGUGGCAAGCGUUAUCCGGAUUUACUGGGUGUAAAGGGCGUGUAGGCGGGACUGCAAGUCAGAUGUGAAAACCACGGGCUCAACCUGUGGCCUGCAUUUGAAACUGUAGUUCUUGAGUACUGGAGAGGCAGACGGAAGUCCUAGUGGAGCGGUGAAAUGCGUAGAUAUCACGAAGAACUCCGAUUGCGAGGGCAGCCUACUAAACUGCCACUGACAUUGAUGCUCGAAAGUGUGGGUAUCAAACAGGAUUAGAUACCCGAGUAGUC
Molecule: ribosomal RNA, 443 nt
Filed under: uncultured bacterium
Lineage: Bacteria
Description: partial 16S ribosomal RNA
Rfam family: Bacterial small subunit ribosomal RNA
Source: RNAcentral